This 253-nucleotide ribosomal RNA is filed under the name uncultured bacterium. RNAcentral describes it as "partial 16S ribosomal RNA". It matches the Rfam family "Bacterial small subunit ribosomal RNA", at positions 524 to 776 of the family's 1533-position model. The record is from RNAcentral.
UACGUAGGGUCCGAGCGUUGUCCGGAAUUAUUGGGCGUAAAGAGCUCGUAGGCGGUUUGUCGCGUCUGCUGUGAGAUCCCGAGGCUCAACCUCGGGUCUGCAGUGGGUAUGGGCAGACUGGAGUGCGGUAGGGGAGAAUGGAAUUCCUGGUGUAGCGGUGGAAUGCGCAGAUAUCAGGAGGAACACCGAUGGCGAAGGCAGUUCUCUGGGCCGUAACUGACGCUGAGGAGCGAAAGCGUGGGGAGCGAACAGG